ACGUACGCUGGCGGCACGCCUAACACAUGCAAGUCGAACGAAGUAGCAAUACUUAGUGGCAGACGGGUGAGUAACAUGUGGGUAUCUACCCUUUGGCCUGGAAUAACACGAGGAAACUUGUGCUAAUACCGGAUAAGUCUUUACGGAGAAAGCUUUAUGCACCAUUGGAUGAGCCUGCACUUGAUUAGUUUGUUGGUGGGGUAAUGGCCUACCAAGACUAUGAUCAAUAGCUGAUUUGAGAGGAUGAUCAGCCACAUUGGGACUGAGACACGGCCCAAACUCCUACGGGAGGCAGCAGUGGGGAAUCUUGCACAAUGGAGGAAACUCUGAUGCAGCGAUGCCGCGUGAGUGAAGAAGGCCCUUGGGUUGUAAAGCUCUUUCGUCGGGGAAGAAAAUGACUGUACCCGAAUAAGAAGGUCCGGCUAA
Molecule: ribosomal RNA, 426 nt
Filed under: uncultured bacterium
Lineage: Bacteria
Description: bacterial SSU rRNA
Rfam family: Bacterial small subunit ribosomal RNA
Source: RNAcentral